This 702-nucleotide unclassified non-coding RNA is filed under the name Arabidopsis thaliana (thale cress). Lineage: Eukaryota; Viridiplantae; Streptophyta; Magnoliopsida; Brassicales; Brassicaceae. The record is from RNAcentral.
AAGCCAUGUCGUGAUGUGAAUACACACACAUUUCUCUCUGGACCUAAAAAUCUCUCCCUUCUCUCUAAAAACAAAAGGAACCGCCACCUAGAUUUUUUAUAUUCAUAGUGGCUUCCAUAGCACUAGAGCCGGUAGAAGCAGUCUUCAAUCGGUUCUUCUCUGCCUCAGAUUAAGAAAUUUCGCCAUCGUAAAUCUAGAUCUUCUUCCUUUCUUCAAGAGACGUUCUUUGAGUCUCUAUUUUUUUGGAUGCGUUUCACCGCCUCUGUGACUUCUCGAGAGUAUUAUAAAGAGGGUCACACGACACUUUCAUUUGGUUUUAACUUGUUAUAAAGAAGAUUCUUGUAUUAUAAUCUGUUUGUGUGUUUUUCUAAGUCUCAGUUUUGUUUUAAUUUGCAAGGUUUAGGUUUUGUUAAUCUUUUUUUUGAAUUUCCAGAUUCUGAUCCAGAAAGUAUUAAUGGAUGUUGUGUAGUUUAUUUGCUCGGGUUUUUUUCCCUUUGUUUACUUUGUUUGAUCAUUGUUUCUGGUGUUCUUGUACUCGCCGACUAAUGUUUCCGGAAGUGUUCAUGUACUUGCCGGCUCUUUGUAAUUCACUUUAAACCUUAUCAAUAGAAUCUUUUUGAUGAAAAAGAAGAAGAAGCCAUGGAGCUAUUCAAACUCAUCUAACCGAUUGGAUAAAACAGCUCAUUCAUAGGAGACUACGCC